GGAAUCAGUGACAUUGUUAUUUUAAAAGGGUAAGUUGGAACAGUACAGAGAAGAUUGGCACGGUCCCUGCACCAGGAUGACGCGCACAUCUGUGAAGUUCCUGGUUUUC
Molossus molossus (Pallas's mastiff bat) is the source of this 109-nucleotide small nuclear RNA. The record is from RefSeq and is a predicted model, not a curated record. NCBI's taxonomy places the organism in Eukaryota, Metazoa, Chordata, Mammalia, Chiroptera, Molossidae.